Molecule: ribosomal RNA, 437 nt
Filed under: uncultured bacterium
Lineage: Bacteria
Description: partial 16S ribosomal RNA
Rfam family: Bacterial small subunit ribosomal RNA
Source: RNAcentral
GAUGAACGCUAGCGGCAUGCUUAACACAUGCAAGUCGGACGGGAAGUGGUGUUUCCAGUGGCGGACGGGUUAGUAACGCGUAAGAACCUGCCCUUGGGAUGGGAACAACAACUGGAAACGGUUGCUAAUACCCCGUAGGCUGAGUAGCAAAAGGAGUAAUCCGCCCGAGGAGGGGCUCGCGUCUGAUUAGCUAGUUGGUGAGGCAAUAGCUGACCACGGCGAUGAUCAGUAGCUGGUACGAGAGGAUGAUCGGCCACACUGGGACUGAGACACGGCCCAGACUCCUACGGGAGGCAGCAGUGGGGAAUUUGCAGCAAUGGGCGAAAGCCUGACGGAGCAAUGCGGCGUGGAGGUAGAAGGACCAGGGGUGAUGAACUUCUUUUCUCAGAGAAGAAGCAAUGACGGUAUCUGAGGAAUAAGCAUCGGCUAACUCUGUG